UGGAUUCGGCGGGAUAAAUGUGGUCACAUCUUCAUUAAUUAGAUGUCUUGAGUUCGAAACUUCAGAAUGGAGAUAGAACUCCUUAUAGGGAGAGUUGUUCCCCCUUUUUUGACCCCCAUAGCACGAAUCUGAAAUAGUGGAGUUAGAUAUUUUAAAUACAUGAUAAGAGAAAACAUGGAUUAGAAUUAAGCUGAGCAUAAGAUUUGCCUAAGUUAGAUUCUUUGAACUCAAAUCUUGCAAAAUCAAAUUUCAAUUCAUUGAAUUUGUCCUAUAGUUCAUUUUAACAUUUUCACUUAUUUAUUGAGAAAAAAAAAUAAUAGUAUCAAAAGAUAAACAAAUGUCACUGAUAAAUAGAUUAAUUAGUUCCGUUCUUUCCUACAGGAAACCUGCCUAGUCAAAUGUGGAACUUGACAAAACUUCAAGAUCUAUUUCUUGGAUGGAAUAACUUAACAGGUACUUAUCAUGCAGUUGGCUCCAUGUCUAAAAAUGUUCUUCUGUAACAACUUUGAUAGGUUAAACUGAGAUUUACUAACUUCGAUAUACAUUAUUGGAAAAUAUUACGUUAACUCCUCACUUCGUGGCACCACAGAUCUUUGAAAUUUCCAAACACUUGGAAAUCAUUUAAUAGAAAAUAUUAAUAAUUCAAGUUUUAGUACCAAAAAAUGUAACUGCAACUCUUUGUUCUUCACUUCCAAACAAGUUAGAACAACUACAUCAACCCAUGUUAGUUUGGGUUGAUUAUAUGAAUCCUCAAUGUUCAUAUCGCUCCAUUUAGACCUGUCCCAAUCCAAUAUCGAAUCAUUCAUGUUUUCUUAUAGUAGAAUUUCUCACACGUACACUUUCUACUGGCAUUUAGAUAUUUAAUAAGAUUAAAAGCCUGCUAGCAAACAUUGAACUAAGUAAAUAUACAAACAUAAGUAAGCCUCAAUCACGACAAGCUGGUAUCGCCUACAUUGAUCUUUAUCUUCCAUUCUGCUCUCGUCUAUGCUAAGUCUAAACGGAAUCCAAUUGAUAGUACAUAGUUCUUUUGCUUUCUUUUUAUCCUAUGUCGGGUAUUUCAUGGUUCAACUUUUGGCAUAUAAGCAACAGAGACAAAAAUAUAGGAACACAAGUAUAGAUUAUAGAAUGAAUCUAAUUCAUAUUGAUCUUCAAUGGAAUGUUGAAACAGUUACAAUGGUUGUUCCCUUCAGGAUAUGGAGAUAAACGUAUAAUGCAUAAAACUUUUAUCUGGCUAGAAGUUAAGUGAUAGGAGUACUACUUCAGAGUAAUGGAAUUUUUAGUGUAUAAUCACACAAUUUACAUAAAUUUUACAGGACAUAUACCAAGUGAAAUUGAUAACCUAUCAGCACUUCAAAGAUUAAGUCUCCGACGGAACAAUUUGGUGGGACUUCUUCCACCAUCCAUUGGAAAUUUGUCGAAUCUAGAGAUGAUAGACCUAGGUGAGAACAGUUUACGGGGUGACAUUCCUCGGGAAUUUGAACAUCUAGUAAAUCUGAAAGAACUGUAUCUUAGCUCAAACAGAUUAUCAGGUGAAGUUCCAAGGUCUAUUUUCAACAUUUCUGGACUAGAAAAGAUUGCAUUUGUAGCAAAUAAUGAGCUUUCAGGAAUACUUCCCUCAAACAUAGGCCAUAGCCUUCCAAAUCUUGAAGGCCUUUAUCUUGGGAGAAACCAGUUCAGUGGGCUGAUUCCUAGCUCCAUCGUAAAUUCCACCAAGCUUAUCCAUCUUGAUCUUGGCCGCAAUCUGUUUACUGGGCAUGUACCCAUGAAUCUUGGAAAUCUACAACAGCUUCAAUUCAUCAGCGUGCAAAUAAACCAAUUGACAAAUGAUCCUUCUAUGCGCGAGUUAAGUUUUCUUACCUCUCUAUCCAAUUGCAAGUAUCUGAAGACCGUUCAAAUAGGAGGCAACCAAUUCAAUGCAAGUCUUCCAAAAUUCCUAGGCUCAGGCAACUGGUCCUUUUCCCUUGAAUAUUUCACUGCUUCUACUAAUGGUAUCACAGGAAAAAUACCAACUAACUUAAGUAACUUGAGGAACCUGGAGUGGUUAAGCUUGGGAUAUAAUAAGCUUAUCGGUACGAUUCCACCAGAUUUGGGGAACUUGAGGAAAUUGCAAAACUUGAAACUGGACAAUAAUAAUAUAGAUGGAAUUAUACCAAUUAGCCUGUGUAAUAUGGAGAACUUGUUUCUAAUUAGCUUGAGCCAAAAUCAGCUUUCAGGGGAAGUACCAAGUUGCUUUGGAAAUCUUUCUUCUAUAAGAGAACUCUACUUAGAUUCCAAUGCGCUAAUUUCCAGUAUUCCACCAACUUUUUGGAGGAAUAAAGAUAUUUCAGUUGUCAAUUUGUCCUCCAAUUUUCUAAAUGGAUCUCUUGCACUAGAAAUGGGAAACUCAAGGAGUUUGCAGAUAUUACAUUUAUCUGGUAAUCAGUUCUCUGGUCAAAUUCCAAGCACAAUUGGACAACUUCAAAAUUUGGUUAUCCUUUCAUUGUCAAUGAAUAUGUUAGAUAGUCCUAUACCUAAAUCUUUUGAAGAUUUGGUUUCAUUGGAAUACCUGGAUCUAUCCAGAAACAAGCUAUCCAGCAUGAUUCCCAAGUCCUUGAGGAAUCUUAAACAUCUCAUGUAUUUCAAUGUCUCGUACAAUGGGCUCACGGGUGAAAUUCCAGAUGGAGGGUCAUUCGUGAACUUUACAGCUGAAUCAUUCAUGGGUAACCCAGCAUUAUGUGGAGCAUCCCGGUUCCAUGUGAUGCAAUGCAGAGUCAAUAGCCCUAAAAGACCAAAAAAGAAGAGGGUUGUAACUUCUGUUCUUGCAUCAGUUGCCUUAGGAGUUGUAAUGACCACCAUUUUCAUCGUUUGGUUACUGAAAUGCCGAAAAAGGAGUAGGGGACUUCCUCUAGUUGAUAUAUUUGGUCAAGUACAUAGGAGGAUUUCGUACCAUGAUAUUGCUCAAGGGACAAACAACUUUGAUGAAGCAAACUUGAUCGGGAGGGGGAGCCUUGGAUUGGUAUAUAAAGGGACACUUGCAGAUGGAAAGGUUGUGGCAUUCAAGGUAUUCAAUGCAGAAAUGCAACAUGCAUUCAGAAGUUUUGAUGUGGAGUGCCUAGUUCUACGAAGCAUUCGACAUAGGAACCUUGUUAAGGUGAUAAGUAGUUGUGCGAAUUUUGAUUAUAAAGUGUUGGUGCUAGAGUACAUGCCCAAUGAAAACCUUGAUUGUUGGCUUCACUCUCCCGACAAAUAUUUGGAUUUAACUCAAAGAUUAAAGGUGAUGGUUGAUGUGGCUUCUGCUAUGGAGUAUUUACAUGGAGGUCAUUUGUUUGUAGUCGUUCAUUGUGAUUUGAAACCAAGUAACAUACUUUUGGAUCGAGAUAUGGUGGCGAAAGUGAGUGACUUUGGGAUAUCCAAACUUCUAACAGCUGAGACGCUAAUAGCACAUACCAAAACCUUGGGUACUAUUGGCUACAUGGCACCAGGUAAAUGUUACUACCAAGUUAAUUUGAGUAAAUUUUAAACGACGUUAAUUAUUUUCAUUAAUGGGGGGGAUUACAUGAAAUUUCUUGCAGAGUAUGGUUCAGAAGGCAAAAUCUCAACCAAGGGAGAUGUUUAUAGCUUUGGUAUUCUGUUAAUGGAGACUUUUACAAGAAAGAGCCCUGUGGAUGAUCUAUUUGUCGGAGACUUCACCUUGAAAAAAUGGAUAUGCCAAUCAUUACCAAACCAAAUGGUGGAUGUAGUGGACAUUAAUUUAUUUUCACUGGAUGACGAAAAUUUUAUGUUGAAAGAGAGAUGCUUCAAAUCAAUCAUGGAAUUAGCUUUUGAAUGCACAAAUGACUUGCCUGAAGAGAGAAUUAGUAUGGAAGAUGUUAAUGUUCGACUCAAGAAGAUCCUAACUCAAUUUCUGCAAAAUGUAGUGACAAACUAAACGGUAGUGCUGAAGUCUCUAAUGGAAUCAUUUCUUCACGGGCAAAUUGAAAAUAUUCGAAAGAACUUUUAAGAGAUUGAAAAUCUGUCAGUUCAACUGUUUCAGAAAAUUUGUUCUGUGUUUAUUCUUCUUUAUGUACGUAUCAGCUUUCUUCUUUUCCUUUUUUUCUUCUUCCUAGCAUCAAUCUACAACUUAUUGAUAACAUGUGUGUUCAUACAUGAUUAUGUUUCUUUUUUAAACAGAUAAAUCCCCAUAGGAUAAUGGGGCAAGACUCGAAACUUGGUGGAUAAUGGGCCCGCUUCUAUAUCUUUCUCCACACAAAUAGUACUAGGAUUUUUGCGACCUGUAGGGUUCGAACGUCGAACCAUUUGUGUGCACCUAACCUACCAUAUAUGAUUAUAUUUUUUAAUGACGACAAAUCGAUAUUGUUCACAAGAAAUUCAAAUGUUUAUUCAUCUGUAAUCAGUAAGAGAUCUUGUUAACUGAUACCCCUGAAUAAAUUAUCAGUACAUUGGGUGGCUUGAAACUACUUACUACACAAUACAGAAGAAAAUUGCAAUUCCACUAGCACUAGCAUAUUUUAUGAAAUAUUAGCUGAUAGAAGCAGUAGUAAUGCUAAAGGAACAUAUCAAUUAAUAAUACACAAAACACUUACUCUUGUUUAUGUGAGGUGCAUAGAUGAAGCACUUGCCAAAAAUGUGCAUUAGAUGUCCAACUUUUGCCACUGCAAGGAUUAAAGAAGGAAAGGAAACAGUAAGAUUAGCUAGGAACCUAAACUGCUCCUAUAGAAAUGAUAAAAAGAAGCAUAUUAGUUGAGCACUUCACUACAAUUUGACAACUUAACAUCAAGGAGCAAGCCCUGAUCAGGAGUUCAUGAUCGGGAGUUACACCACGAGCACGACUUUAACGUAUGCAAACUAACCAAUACUAUAAGUUCAGAGAAAUGGAAACAACAGAGUGAUUUUUGCACAACAACUGAGAGAAAGAAACAUCUGAGAAACUAGACAGAACAGUACAGACGAAUCCCGCUGGAAACGUAACUAGGAAAUGUAAUUAAAGCACAAAAAGAGUGCCCCAAAUCUAAAUACACUCUUUAUCAUACAGAACGGUAUUGCAUUAAACAAAACUUAGAAUCUUAACCAAAAUUAUACAGGGGAUUGUGGCGAUUUGAAAUCGUAGAACCAGAAAAGCGACUGGUUGAAACAUAAUAACCCCAGGACCAAGAUCUUCCCACUUUCUUCUUCCAUACUUUUCUUUCUUUCUUUAUCUGAUUCGAUUGGAUCUGUAUUUUGCUCUCUUUGUUGACUAAACAAGUCGUAAAUGGGAAAAGCUCCAAACAAUUUGAUCUCCGUUGGACUUCUGUUUCAUUCUUCUUCUUUAUAU
RNAcentral lists this long non-coding RNA (5290 nucleotides) under Nicotiana benthamiana. RNAcentral's name for it is "long non-coding RNA (NBEN_LNC028167)". Lineage: Eukaryota; Viridiplantae; Streptophyta; Magnoliopsida; Solanales; Solanaceae. The record is from RNAcentral.